AUAAUUAAAAUUUAAUUCAAUAAGUCCCAAAUAAUCCAAACAUACAUUUUGUCUAAGAAAAACUAAACUAAGUAAUUACAAUAAAAAUUGCUACAGAUGGAAAUAGGUUCCUAAUGACCAAAACCAAGCAAUUAGGAUGAAAUCACAUUGGACUUAGUCAUGAAAACAGGUUGUCUUGAAGCUUGAAGCAACCACCUUCCAUUCCAGCAGGUCAUCUCAGAGUUGUAAUGUAAUCUGCAGAGAACAAAAGUAACUUAUUUUAAAAUCACUUUUCAAAAGCACUUAGAGAGCUGAAAAACAACUAAAUGAAUCAUUCAGUUUGAAGCUUUAUCCAGCAGGUUAACAUGAAUACUCAAAAAAGCACUUUUGACAUUAGCUUAAAACAGAAUAAAUCAAUAGAAAUUAAAUCCCACAUAAUCUGGGAUGGGACAAAUGGAAAGAGGAGUUUUUUAGACUUAAGAAAUCCUUCAUAAACAGAUUCAAAAGGAGGUGAACAAAUAGAGACAGUAAGAUAUUUUUCUCAGGAUCCAAAAAACAAGAACCACAGAACAAGAUACACAACACGAAUUUUUUCUAAAACCCGAAACAAGAACGCACAACAAUAUUUCAAAGAGAACCUUAAAGAACCAACAGCAAAAACAUCCCGAACAGUUCUUUUUUCUUCGAAUCCAAACACAGCAAGAUACUUUCAAAAAAUCCUUAAAAAAAAAGUUAAUACAGCAAGAACAACGAAGCGAUUUUUUUGCAAACCCGGAACACAACAGCCAUAACAUUUCUCGAAAACCCUAAGAAUGAAAACAGAAG
This 804-nucleotide long non-coding RNA is filed under the name Lathyrus oleraceus (garden pea). RNAcentral describes it as "Pisum sativum (pea) long non-coding RNA (PSAT_LNC038910)". Lineage: Eukaryota; Viridiplantae; Streptophyta; Magnoliopsida; Fabales; Fabaceae. The record is from RNAcentral.